RNAcentral lists this ribosomal RNA (483 nucleotides) under uncultured bacterium. RNAcentral's name for it is "partial 16S ribosomal RNA". It matches the Rfam family "Bacterial small subunit ribosomal RNA", at positions 28 to 523 of the family's 1533-position model. The record is from RNAcentral.
GAUGAACGCUGGCGGCGUGCUUAACACAUGCAAGUCGAACGGUGAAGCAGGAGCUUGCUCUUGUGGAUCAGUGGCGAACGGGUGAGUAACACGUGAGCAACCUGCCCCUGACUCUGGGAUAAGCGCUGGAAACGGCGUCUAAUACUGGAUAUGUGAUGUGACCGCAUGGUCUGCAUCUGGAAAGAAUUUCGGUUGGGGAUGGGCUCGCGGCCUAUCAGCUUGUUGGUGAGGUAAUGGCUCACCAAGGCGUCGACGGGUAGCCGGCCUGAGAGGGUGACCGGCCACACUGGGACUGGGACACGGCCCAGACUCCUACGGGGGGCAGCAGUGGGGAAUAUUGCACAAUGGGCGGAAGCCUGAUGCAGCAACGCCGCGUGAGGGAUGACGGCCUUCGGGUUGUAAACCUCUUUUAGCAGGGAAGAAGCGAAAGUGACGGUACCUGCAGAAAAGCACCGGCUAACUACGUGCCAGCCGCCGCCGUAA